Molecule: long non-coding RNA, 342 nt
Organism: Zalophus californianus (California sea lion)
Lineage: Eukaryota; Metazoa; Chordata; Mammalia; Carnivora; Otariidae
Exons: 4
Source: RefSeq, a predicted model, not a curated record
CCCCUCCCCUCUAGAACCCUCAGUUUCUUUUUCAGAGUCCAUCAUCUCUCAUGAAGUACAGAUCUGUGAUUCAACAGUCUUUCUAUGCAGAAUUUUUUACUAAACUGACUGAACUGUUUCAUAUGCUGACAAGACAAAUUUCUCAGAUGCAGCUGUCAGCCAUGGGCUCUUUGUCUACACUGACGGAGCGCUCCACUGUCAACACCUGAUGAGGCUGUUUGGUGCCAAAGCGAAUAUCCAGUGGAUCCCAUUCUGUGCGGACACAACUCAGAACCUGCAAGAAAUGUAUCAAAAAGAAAAGGCUACAAGGAACACCUGAGCAGAAGAAUAAAGAAAUAAAAC